GACGGAGGGGGCAAGCGUUGUUCGGAAUUAUUGGGCGUAAAGGGCUCGUAGGCGGACGGGCAAGUCUGGCGUGAAAUCUCCACCGCUCACCGGGGAGGGGUCGCUGGAUACUACCCGCCUGGAGUUCGGUAGAGGACCGUGGAAUUCCGCAUGUAGCAGUGGAAUGCGUAGAUAUGCGGAAGAACACCUGUGGCGAAGGCGGCGGUCUGGGCCGAUACUGACGCUGAGGAGCGAAAGCCAGGGGAGCAAACGGG
Molecule: ribosomal RNA, 254 nt
Filed under: uncultured bacterium
Lineage: Bacteria
Description: partial 16S ribosomal RNA
Rfam family: Bacterial small subunit ribosomal RNA
Source: RNAcentral